RNAcentral lists this ribosomal RNA (1297 nucleotides) under Microsporidium sp. Angskars-klubben 126. RNAcentral's name for it is "SSU rRNA". It matches the Rfam family "Microsporidia small subunit ribosomal RNA". The record is from RNAcentral. Lineage: Eukaryota; Fungi; Microsporidia.
GUGGACGCUUGCCUUAAAGAUUGAGCCAUGCAAGCCAGCGAAGGUAACGGAGCGGCAAACGGCUCAGUAGGACAGGGACAUCUGACCACCGUACAGGAUAACCGCGGUAAUCUGUGGCUAAUACUAGAGUGGGUGAGACUCUGGCCUAUCAGCUUGGCGGUACGGUAAGUGCGUACCGUGGCGACGACGGGUAACGGGGAAUCGGGGUUUGAUUCCGGAGAGGGAGCCUGAGAGAUGGCUGCCACGUCCAAGGACGGCAGCAGGCGCGGAAAUUACCCACUUGGAGGACCAGAGGUAGUGACGAGGCGUUAUUAAUGAGAGCAGUGUAAAAAGCUGUUUGAAAGCAACUGGAGGGCAAGUCUGGUGCCAGCAGCCGCGGUAAUUCCAGCUCCAGGAGCGUCUGUGUGUGUUGCUGCGGUUAAAGAGUGCGUAGUCUGAUUAAUUGCCAGCAAUAAAGGUGCGGUCUUUAGCUGUGCAUUAUGCUGGUACUUUGAUCUAGGGACUGGAACAGGGCAACGGUAUUCGACAGCGAGGGGUGAAAACUGAUGACCUGUCGAGGAGCGACUGAGGCGAAAGCGGUUGUCUGGGACGGGUUCGACGAUCAAGCGCGUGAGCAGGAGGAUCGAAGGCGAUUAGAGACCGUCGUAGUUCCUGCAGUAAACGAUGCCAACGGGAAUGCAAGGAAUGUGUUCCGAGGGAAACCGAGUGUAUGGGCUCCGGGGAUAGUACAGGCGCAAGCCAGAAACUUGAAGAAAUUGACGGAAGGACACCACAAGGAGUGGAGUGUGCGGGUUAAUUUGACUCAACGCGGGACAACUUACCAGGGUAUGUAACGUUGAGUGAAGGGUAUGGAUGUGAUCUGUAUUCUGAUAGUGUUACGCGUGGUGCAUGGCCGUUCUCAACACGUGGGGUGACUUGUCUGGUUAAAUCCGAUAACGCGUGAGACCCUGGAAAUUGACGAUACUUGACAAGAGUAGGGAAGCUCGGGUCGAUAACAGGUCUGUGAUGCCCGUAGAUAUUCUGGGCGCCACGCGCACUACAGUGGGAGAGGAUACGUGAAACGGAACUCUCUUGCGGUUGGGAUUGACGUUUGUAAAUACGUCAUGAACGCGGAAUUCCUAGUAAUUUGUUGUCAUUAACGACAGAUGAAUGAGUCCCUGUUCUUUGUACACACCGCCCGUCGUUAUCUAAGAUGAAUGUGCGGAUGAAGUUGGUUAGGCCAAAAGAAUCCGUGCGAUUAGAUUGGAUACAAGUCGUAACAAGGUUGCGGUAGGAGAACCUGCCGCAGGAUCAAUAA